CCCCAGUAACGGCUGAGUGAAGCGGCAACAGCUCAAAUUUGAAAUCUGGCCCCCAGGGCCCGAGUUGUAAUUUGCAGAGGAUGCUUUUGGCGCGGCGCCUUCCGAGUUCCCUGGAACGGGACGCCAUAGAGGGUGAGAGCCCCGUCUGGUCGGACGCCAAGCCAGUGUAAAGCUCCUUCGACGAGUCGAGUAGUUUGGGAAUGCUGCUCUAAAUGGGAGGUAUAUGUCUUCUAAAGCUAAAUAUAGGCCAGAGACCGAUAGCGCACAAGUAGAGUGAUCGAAAGAUGAAAAGCACUUUGAAAAGAGGGUUAAACAGUACGUGAAAUUGUUGAAAGGGAAGCACUUGUGACCAGACUUGGGCCCGGUGAAUCAUCCAGCGUUCUCGCUGGUGCACUUCGCCGGGCUCAUGCCAGCAUCAGUUCGCCGCGGGGGACAAAAGCUUCGGGAACGUGGCUCCCUCGGGAGUGUUAUAGCCCGUUGCACAAUACCCUGCGGUGGACUGAGGUUCGCGCUCCGCAAGGAUGCUGGCGUAAUGGUCACCAGUGACCCGUCUUGAAACACGGACCAAGGAGUCGUCUUCGUAUGCGAGUGUUCGGGUGUCAAACCCCUACGCGUAAUGAAAGUGAACGCAGGUGAGAGCUUCGGCGCAUCAUCGACCGAUCCUGAUGUUCUCGGAUGGAUUUGAGUAAGAGCAUACGGGGCCGGACCCGAAAGAAGGUGAACUAUGCCUGUAUAGGGUGAAGCCAGAGGAUACUCUGGUGGAGGCUCGCAGCGGUUCUGACGUGCAAAUCGAUCGUCAAA
RNAcentral lists this ribosomal RNA (801 nucleotides) under Tolypocladium sp. RNAcentral describes it as "partial large subunit ribosomal RNA". It matches the Rfam family "Eukaryotic large subunit ribosomal RNA", at positions 78 to 909 of the family's 3401-position model. The record is from RNAcentral. Lineage: Eukaryota; Fungi; Ascomycota; Sordariomycetes; Hypocreales; Ophiocordycipitaceae.